GAUUUACUUCGGUAAUGACGUUAGGAAAGCGAGCGGCGGAUGGGUGAGUAACACGUGGGGAAUCUGCCCCAUAGUCUGGGAUACCACUUGGAAACAGGUGCUAAUACCGGAUAAGAAAGCAGAUCGCAUGAUCAGCUUUUAAAAGGCGGCGUAAGCUGUCGCUAUGGGAUGGCCCCGCGGUGCAUUAGCUAGUUGGUAAGGUAAAGGCUUACCAAGGCGAUGAUGCAUAGCCGAGUUGAGAGACUGAUCGGCCACAUUGGGACUGAGACACGGCCCAAACUCCUACGGGAGGCAGCAGUAGGGAAUCUUCCACAAUGGACGCAAGUCUGAUGGAGCAACGCCGCGUGAGUGAAGAAGGUUUUCGGAUCGUAAAGCUCUGUUGUUGGUGAAGAAGGAUAGAGGUAGUAACUGGCCUUUAUUUGACGGUAAUCAACCAGAAAGUCACGGCUAACUACGUGCCAGCAGCCGCGGUAAUACGUAGGUGGCAAGCGUUGUCCGGAUUUAUUGGGCGUAAAGCGAGCGCAGGCGGAAGAAUAAGUCUGAUGUGAAAGCCCUCGGCUUAACCGAGGAACUGCAUCGGAAACUGUUUUUCUUGAGUGCAGAAGAGGAGAGUGGAACUCCAUGUGUAGCGGUGGAAUGCGUAGAUAUAUGGAAGAACACCAGUGGCGAAGGCGGCUCUCUGGUCUGCAACUGACGCUGAGGCUCGAAAGCAUGGGUAGCGAACA
Molecule: ribosomal RNA, 725 nt
Filed under: uncultured bacterium
Lineage: Bacteria
Description: bacterial SSU rRNA
Rfam family: Bacterial small subunit ribosomal RNA
Source: RNAcentral